UUUUGAGAAAAAGGUAGCAUGCUAUUCGCUUCAUUCAAUUAGACGAUGAUAAUAAAAGAAAAUAUUAAGUAUAGAUAGUCAAUUAUUAAACUAAUAUAUAGUCUAUAUCAAUAAAUAAAAUUGUUAAUUUUGAUACUGCUUGAUUAAUAAAAAAAUAAAAUAGAAAAGCAUGAAUUUUAGUUUCUAGCAACAUCAAACACUCUGGAAGGUCUCAAGCGGCAUGAAUUGACAAUUUAAAUGCUCGAACAUUAAUUUAAAAAAUAAAUUUUGUCACAAAUUGAAAAACCAUAAAUACAUUAUAUCUCAACUUUAUUAAAUAAAUUCCUACCAAAACAUUAGCAACCAUAUUAAUAUUAAUUCAUUAUAACUCAUAGAAAAAAUUGCAACCAACAAACCAAUUUCAACACCGACCGUCCCUAAAGCAAGUAGCAAAGGACUUGGUGGUUGGUACCCGAGAUCCCAAGUUCGAAUCCUAGUUGAUUCACAUUUUCAGCUAAGUUUAUUUCUAAAUGAAAUAAACGAAGCGGAUAGCGUACUACCUAUUUUUCUCUCAAAAAAAAAAGCAAACCAAUUUCAACCUUCAAUAUUCCAAAAAAAUCUCAUCAAUCCAACAAUAUUAUCCAACUCAAAACGAACACUUAGUUAUUAAACCCACCAAUCACUCAACACUUGACACUUGACAC
RNAcentral lists this long non-coding RNA (683 nucleotides) under Ananas comosus (pineapple). RNAcentral's name for it is "long non-coding RNA (ACOM_LNC004368)". The record is from RNAcentral. Lineage: Eukaryota; Viridiplantae; Streptophyta; Magnoliopsida; Poales; Bromeliaceae.